UACAGAGGUGGCAAGCGUUGUUCGGAAUUACUGGGCGUAAAGGGCGCGUAGGCGGCCUUCUAAGUCAGACGUGAAAUCCCCCGGCUUAACCUGGGGACUGCGUCUGAUACUGGGAGGCUUGAGUAUGGGAGAGGGAUGUAGAAUUCCAGGUGUAGCGGUGAAAUGCGUAGAUAUCUGGAGGAAUACCGGUGGCGAAGGCGGCAUCCUGGACCAUUACUGACGCUGAGGCGCGAAAGCUAGGGGAGCAAACGGG
This 253-nucleotide ribosomal RNA is filed under the name uncultured bacterium. RNAcentral's name for it is "partial 16S ribosomal RNA". It matches the Rfam family "Bacterial small subunit ribosomal RNA", at positions 524 to 776 of the family's 1533-position model. The record is from RNAcentral.